This 103-nucleotide ribosomal RNA is filed under the name Eimeria ellipsoidalis. Its description in RNAcentral is "partial 28S ribosomal RNA". It matches the Rfam family "Eukaryotic large subunit ribosomal RNA", at positions 1 to 101 of the family's 3401-position model. Lineage: Eukaryota; Apicomplexa; Conoidasida; Eucoccidiorida; Eimeriidae. The record is from RNAcentral.
CUAGACCUGAAAUCAGUCGAGGACACCCGCUGAAUUUAAGCAUAUUAUUAAGCGGAGGAAAAGAAAAUAACUAUGAUUCCCUUAGUAACGGCGAGUGAAGAGG